This 1017-nucleotide ribosomal RNA is filed under the name uncultured bacterium. Its description in RNAcentral is "bacterial SSU rRNA". It matches the Rfam family "Bacterial small subunit ribosomal RNA", at positions 355 to 1375 of the family's 1533-position model. The record is from RNAcentral.
UGAGGAAUAUUGGUCAAUGGGCGCAGGCCUGAACCAGCCAAGUAGCGUGAAGGAUGACUGCCCUAUGGGUUGUAAACUUCUUUUAUAAAGGAAUAAAGUCGGGUAUGUAUACCCGUUUGCAUGUACUUUAUGAAUAAGGAUCGGCUAACUCCGUGCCAGCAGCCGCGGUAAUACGGAGGAUCCGAGCGUUAUCCGGAUUUAUUGGGUUUAAAGGGAGCGUAGAUGGAUGUUUAAGUCAGUUGUGAAAGUUUGCGGCUCAACCGUAAAAUUGCAGUUGAUACUGGAUAUCUUGAGUGCAGUUGAGGCAGGCGGAAUUCGUGGUGUAGCGGUGAAAUGCUUAGAUAUCACGAAGAACUCCGAUUGCGAAGGCAGCCUGCUAAGCUGCAACCGACAUUGAGGCUCGAAAGUGUGGGUAUCAAACAGGAUUAGAUACCCUGGUAGUCCACACGGUAAACGAUGAAUACUCGCUGUUUGCGAUAUACUGCAAGCGGCCAAGCGAAAGCGUUAAGUAUUCCACCUGGGGAGUACGCCGGCAACGGUGAAACUCAAAGGAAUUGACGGGGGCCCGCACAAGCGGAGGAACAUGUGGUUUAAUUCGAUGAUACGCGAGGAACCUUACCCGGGCUUAAAUUGCAGAUGAAUUACGGUGAAAGCCGUAAGCCGCAAGGCAUCUGUGAAGGUGCUGCAUGGUUGUCGUCAGCUCGUGCCGUGAGGUGUCGGCUUAAGUGCCAUAACGAGCGCAACCCUUGUUGUCAGUUACUAACAGGUUCCGCUGAGGACUCUGACAAGACUGCCAUCGUAAGAUGUGAGGAAGGUGGGGAUGACGUCAAAUCAGCACGGCCCUUACGUCCGGGGCUACACAUGUGUUACAAUGGGGGGUACAGAGGGCCGCUACCACGCGAGUGGAUGCCAAUCCCCAAAACCUCUCUCAGUUCGGACUGGAGUCUGCAACCCGACUCCACGAAGCUGGAUUCGCUAGUAAUCGCGCAUCAGCCACGGCGCGGUGAAUACGUUCCC